UUUAUCGGGCAAAGGAUGAGCCCGCGUAGGAUUAGGUAGUUGGUGGGGUAAAGGCCUACCAAGCCGACGAUCCUUAGCUGGUCUGAGAGGAUGAUCAGCCACACUGGGACUGAGACACGGCCCAGACUCCUACGGGAGGCAGCAGUGGGGAAUAUUGGACAAUGGGCGAAAGCCUGAUCCAGCAAUGCCGCGUGAGUGAUGAAGGCCUCGGGUCGUAAAGCUCUUUACCAGGGAUGAUAAUGACAGUACCUGGAGAAUAAGCUCCGGCUAACUCCGUG
RNAcentral lists this ribosomal RNA (278 nucleotides) under uncultured bacterium. RNAcentral's name for it is "partial 16S ribosomal RNA". It matches the Rfam family "Bacterial small subunit ribosomal RNA", at positions 210 to 507 of the family's 1533-position model. The record is from RNAcentral.